GUUCAAGAGGGGCUGCCACACAUGUCUCUGCAAUGCGGAAGGCAGUGUUGCCACUUGCACACCUAAAAACUGCGAAGCUGUCAGGACAACAACUGGCGAAACUGCACAACGAGUGAAACGUGCAGUACAGUUGGCAGGGCUGUGUCGACCGAAUUCGACGUUCAAGAGGAGCUGCAACACAUGUCUCUGCAAUGCUUUUGGCAGUGCUGCCACCUGCACACGCACAAACUGCGAAGUUGUCGGGAAAACAGCUGGAGACACGACAUCAAUUCAGUGCGCGCCGAAUUCAACAUUCAAGUACGGAUGCAACAUAUGUUACUGCGGUGGAAAUGGAACUGUGGUUGCCUGCACCCAAGCUGACUGUUCCAGACGUGGCCCUCCCAAGUAAGACCUGUUGGAUGCCCAGCGUCGUCUGCUCACCAUACUGGCAAUAUCUAACAGAGCUAUGGCGACGGGAACAUGGCAGAUGGAGAUUAGUACGUGAUUUUUAUCUUUUCAGCAAUUUACGCU
Long non-coding RNA from Schistocerca serialis cubense, 510 nucleotides. RefSeq lists it as uncharacterized. The record is from RefSeq and is a predicted model, not a curated record. NCBI's taxonomy places the organism in Eukaryota, Metazoa, Arthropoda, Insecta, Orthoptera, Acrididae. The transcript is spliced from 4 exons.